This 492-nucleotide ribosomal RNA is filed under the name uncultured bacterium. Its description in RNAcentral is "partial 16S ribosomal RNA". It matches the Rfam family "Bacterial small subunit ribosomal RNA", at positions 29 to 507 of the family's 1533-position model. The record is from RNAcentral.
AGUGAACGCUGGCGGUAGGCCUAACACAUGCAAGUCGAACGGCAGCACAGUAAGAGCUUGCUCUUACGGGUGGCGAGUGGCGGACGGGUGAGGAAUACAUCGGAAUCUACUUUUUCGUGGGGGAUAACGUAGGGAAACUUACGCUAAUACCGCAUACGACCUACGGGUGAAAGCAGGGGAUCUUCGGACCUUGCGCGAUUGAAUGAGCCGAUGUCGGAUUAGCUAGUUGGCGGGGUAAAGGCCCACCAAGGCGACGAUCCGUAGCUGGUCUGAGAGGAUGAUCAGCCACACUGGAACUGAGACACGGUCCAGACUCCUACGGGAGGCAGCAGUGGGGAAUAUUGGACAAUGGGCGCAAGCCUGAUCCAGCCAUGCCGCGUGUGUGAAGAAGGCCUUCGGGUUGUAAAGCCCUUUUGUUGGGAAAGAAAAGCAGCAGGUUAAUACCCCGCUGUUCUGACGGUACCCAAAGAAUAAGCACCGGCUAACUUCGUG